GUGGCGAACGGGUGAGUAAUACAUCGGAACGUGCCUAGUAGUGGGGGAUAACUACUCGAAAGAGUGGCUAAUACCGCAUGAGAUCUAUGGAUGAAAGCAGGGGACCUUCGGGCCUUGUGCUACUAGAGCGGCCGAUGGCAGAUUAGGUAGUUGGUGGGAUAAAAGCUUACCAAGCCUGCGAUCUGUAGCUGGUCUGAGAGGACGAUCAGCCACACUGGGACUGAGACACGGCCCAGACUCCUACGGGAGGCAGCAGUGGGGAAUUUUGGACAAUGGGCGCAAGCCUGAUCCAGCAAUGCCGCGUGCAGGAUGAAGGCCUUCGGGUUGUAAACUGCUUUUGUACGGAACGAAAAGCUCCUCUCUAAUACAGGGGAGUGAUGACGGUACCGUAAGAAUAAGCACCGGCUAACUACGUGCCAGCAGCCGCGGUAAUACGUAGGGUGCGAGCGUUAAUCGGAAUUACUGGGCGUAAAGCGUGCGCAGGCGGUUUUGUAAGACAGUGGUGAAAUCCCCGG
This 515-nucleotide ribosomal RNA is filed under the name uncultured bacterium. RNAcentral's name for it is "bacterial SSU rRNA". It matches the Rfam family "Bacterial small subunit ribosomal RNA", at positions 95 to 606 of the family's 1533-position model. The record is from RNAcentral.